Molecule: long non-coding RNA, 1160 nt
Filed under: Mytilus galloprovincialis (Mediterranean mussel)
Lineage: Eukaryota; Metazoa; Mollusca; Bivalvia; Mytilida; Mytilidae
Source: RNAcentral
CACGAUUUAAAAAAAAGAAACAUUCUUUCCGUUUCUGUAAAUUUCUUAAAGAACAAGAAAAGUUUGAACUAGAUUUUUUGUGGAGAAAACAACCCGAUUUAAAAUGCACCAGAAUGAAUUACCUAUGAUGCGUUUAUUGAAUAUAUCUCAAUACAAACAGUAUGAAAUAUCACUGUCCGUACAAUAGCUUAUUUUGCGCAAAAAUAGAAUAUAGUGUAUGAUGGCAUCAGUAGUUUACCGAUGCAAGUUCAAGUUUCAUUUAUUCAUUAAGAAUAUACUAUUCAAAGUAAAAAAACUGGGAAAAUCGAAUGAACCCAAAAAAGGAACGAGACACGGUGCAAAGCAAAGUGAGCGAAAACGUAUGAUUAUAUUUCUAUGAACAAAAACAAGGGUGCAUGUCUAUAAAUAACAUUCAGAUACACUCCAUACCAAAAGAUCGAAAGGGCAAAAUAUGAAACAUUGGUGAUUCAGAAAACGGAGGUAAAAUAGAAAAGAAUGAAGCCAAUACAAUUACAUGUCAAUGUUUUCUCUUAGAACUCAUCAGUCUUAACUUUAGCGCAAUUAUAUUAUAUAAUGACCGUCAAAGGGUGGGUACAUUCAGUCAUGAUUAAACUAUAUAGCAACCUUAAAUCUUUUGGUUAACUGACAACAGGACAUGCCGCCAUCAAUUUCAGCUGAGUUGCAAAAAUGAAAAAGUUUAAAUAGCAUGAUCACACUUGAAAUUACAAACUAGCGAAUAUCUUGUCAAUGCCAGAUUCAUAACUUAAAAUUGUUUUAACUUCCACUAGUAUAUGUCAUUUGGUCUCGUUUUCAGUCAAAACACAACUUCCUAAUUUUAUAUUCAUGUUUUAAAAGUAUCCAUAAUGGUUAUACUUAUUCUUGAACAAUUUGUGUUUUUGGUUACUGGUAUUCUUUAUUAUUUUUUCCUUAAUCCUUACAUCUCUUCGUCAAGGAUUAUAAUUAUUGUCAGACGUGUGUUCAAUAUAUUAUUCAAAUGAAAAUGGGACAUUUGCUCGCCACAAUGUGUUUGUAAAAUCAGUCAAAUGUGAGAAAUUGAAGCAUUUAAUUGUCGUUGUUACUAGUUAUGUCAGCCUGAGGUCUUUGUCAAUUUUGAAAUAUGUUCAUUUUCGUUCAACUGUUUUGCAAAUAAACUCACCAUA